This 483-nucleotide ribosomal RNA is filed under the name uncultured Campylobacterales bacterium. Its description in RNAcentral is "bacterial SSU rRNA". It matches the Rfam family "Bacterial small subunit ribosomal RNA", at positions 29 to 528 of the family's 1533-position model. The record is from RNAcentral. Lineage: Bacteria; Pseudomonadati; Campylobacterota; Epsilonproteobacteria; Campylobacterales.
AGUGAACGCUGGCGGCGUGCCUAAUACAUGCAAGUCGAACGAACGAAUAAGAGCUUGCUCUUAUAAGUUAGUGGCGCACGGGUGAGUAAUAUAUAGCUAAUCUGCCUCUUAGUAGAGGAUAACAGUCGGAAACGAUUGCUAAUACUCUAUACUUCUGCUUUACAUAAGUAAAGUAGAGAAAGUUUUUCGCUAAGAGAUGAGGCUAUACUGUAUCAGCUAGUUGGUAAGGUAACGGCUUACCAAGGCUAUGACGCAUAACUGGUCUGAGAGGAUGAUCAGUCACAUUGGGACUGAGACACGGUCCAAACUCCUACGGGAGGCAGCAGUAGGGAAUAUUGCGCAAUGGGGGAAACCCUGACGCAGCAACGCCGCGUGGAGGAUGACACUUUUCGGAGCGUAAACUCCUUUUAUCGGGAAAGAAUAAUGACGGUACCCGAUGAAUAAGCACCGGCUAACUCCGUGCCAGCAGCCGCGGUAAAAGGG